GGGGAUGUGGCUCAGUGGUAGUGUGCUUGCUCUCCAUGUAUGAGGCCCUGGGUUCCUUCCCCAACAUCUCAA
Molecule: transfer RNA, 72 nt
Filed under: Marmota monax (woodchuck)
Lineage: Eukaryota; Metazoa; Chordata; Mammalia; Rodentia; Sciuridae
Description: tRNA.Gly
Source: RNAcentral